This 375-nucleotide ribosomal RNA is filed under the name Veillonella parvula. Its description in RNAcentral is "bacterial SSU rRNA". It matches the Rfam family "Bacterial small subunit ribosomal RNA", at positions 124 to 473 of the family's 1533-position model. The record is from RNAcentral. Lineage: Bacteria; Bacillati; Bacillota; Negativicutes; Veillonellales; Veillonellaceae.
ACCUGCCCUUCAGAGGGGGGACAACAGUUGGAAACGACUGCUAAUACCGCAUACGAUCUAAUCUCGGCAUCGAGGAUAGAUGAAAAGGUGGCCUCUACAUGUAAGCUAUCACUGAAGGAGGGGAUUGCGUCUGAUUAGCUAGUUGGAGGGGUAACGGCCCACCAAGGCGAUGAUCAGUAGCCGGUCUGAGAGGAUGAACGGCCACAUUGGGACUGAGACACGGCCCAGACUCCUACGGGAGGCAGCAGUGGGGAAUCUUCCGCAAUGGACGAAAGUCUGACGGAGCAACGCCGCGUGAGUGAUGACGGCCUUCGGGUUGUAAAGCUCUGUUAAUCGGGACGAAAGGCCUUCUUGCGAAUAGUGAGAAGGAUUGAC